UAGUCCACGCCGUAAACGAUGUUCACUCGCUGUCUGCGAUACACAGUAGGCGGCUGAGCGAAAGCAUUAAGUGAACCACCUGGGGAGUACGAUCGCAGGGUUGAAACUCAAAGGAAUUGACGGGGGCCCGCACAAGCGGAGGAACAUGUGGUUUAAUUCGAUGAUACGCGAGGAACCUUACCUGGGCUUAAAUGUAGAUUGCAUGAGGUGGAAACACUUCUUUACUUCGGUACUAUUUACAAGGUGCUGCAUGGUUGUCGUCAGCUCGUGCCGUGAGGUGUCGGGUUAAGUCCCAUAACGAGCGCAACCCCUAUCGUUAGUUGCUAGCAGGUAAUGCUGAGGACUCUAGCGAGACUGCCACCGUAAGGUGGGAGGAAGGUGGGGAUGACGUCAAAUCAGCACGGCCCUUAUGUCCAGGGCUACACACGUGUUACAAUGGUCGAUACAGAGGGCAGCUACCUGGUAACAGGAUGCGAAUCUCUAAAGUCGGUCCAAGUUCGGAUCG
Molecule: ribosomal RNA, 505 nt
Filed under: uncultured bacterium
Lineage: Bacteria
Description: bacterial SSU rRNA
Rfam family: Bacterial small subunit ribosomal RNA
Source: RNAcentral